UGGGGAAUUUUGCGCAAUGGGGGAAACCCUGACGCAGCAACGCCGCGUGGAGGAUGAAAUCCCUUGGGAUGUAAACUCCUUUCGAUCGGGAAGAUAAUGACGGUACCGAGAGAAGAAGCCCCGGCUAACUUCGUGCCAGCAGCCGCGGUAAUACGAGGGGGGCAAGCGUUGUUCGGAAUUAUUGGGCGUAAAGGGUGCGUAGGCGGUUUGAUAAGUCACAUGUGAAAUCUUCGGGCUCAACCCGAAGUCUGCAUGCGAAACUGUCGGGCUUGAGUAUGGGAGAGGUGAGUGGAAUUUCCGGUGUAGCGGUGAAAUGCGUAGAUAUCGGAAGGAACACCUGUGGCGAAAGCGGCUCACUGGACCAUAACUGACGCUGAUGCACGAAAGCUAGGGGAGCAAACAG
Molecule: ribosomal RNA, 403 nt
Filed under: uncultured bacterium
Lineage: Bacteria
Description: bacterial SSU rRNA
Rfam family: Bacterial small subunit ribosomal RNA
Source: RNAcentral